GAUCCUGGCUCAGGAUGAACGCUGGCGGCGUGCCUAAUACAUGCAAGUCGAACGAAGCACCUCGGUGCUUAGUGGCGAACGGGUGAGUAACACGUGGGUAACCUGCCCUCAAGACGAGGAUAACCGUUGGAAACGAUGGCUAAGACUGGAUGGGAAUACGGGAGGCAUCUUCUGUAUUUUUAAAAGACCUGGCAACAGGUAUGCUUGAGGAGGGGCCUGCGGCGCAUUAGUUAGUUGGUGAGGUGAUGGCUCACCAAGACGAUGAUGCGUAGCCGGACUGAGAGGUUGAACGGCCACAUUGGGACUGAGAGACGGCCCAAACUCCUACGGGAGGCAGCAGUAGGGAAUUUUCGGCAAUGGGGGAAACCCUGAACCCGAGCAACGCCGCGUGAACGACGAAGUACUUCGGUAUGUAAAGUUCUUUUAAGAGGGAAGAAUGGCCCGUGGAAAAGCGGGCGUGACGGUACCUUUUGAAUAAGCCCCGGCUAACUAUGUGCCAGCAGCCGC
This 507-nucleotide ribosomal RNA is filed under the name uncultured bacterium. RNAcentral's name for it is "bacterial SSU rRNA". It matches the Rfam family "Bacterial small subunit ribosomal RNA", at positions 15 to 518 of the family's 1533-position model. The record is from RNAcentral.